This 31-nucleotide non-coding RNA is filed under the name Rattus norvegicus (Norway rat). Lineage: Eukaryota; Metazoa; Chordata; Mammalia; Rodentia; Muridae. The record is from RNAcentral.
UAAGGUAGAUUCUGAAUCUAACGUAAUGACU